Long non-coding RNA from Gallus gallus (chicken), 11751 nucleotides. RefSeq lists it as uncharacterized. Lineage: Eukaryota; Metazoa; Chordata; Aves; Galliformes; Phasianidae. The transcript has 3 exons. The record is from RefSeq and is a predicted model, not a curated record.
UGUGUGUUUAAAAGAGAAAAGGAUAUAGUCUUGAGGGACUGUAUCAGGGAGAAAGGAUUUAAGACUACCAUGUCCACAAUUCACCCCUACAAAACUAAUAUUGUUCACUGAUGUAAUGAAGUCUGAGUCUUCAGAAGAAAUGAGCAACUGAAAAUUGUCUGAAUUUUCAGCUUAACCUGAAAAACUCUGAGUGUCCAGUGAAGGAGUGCUAAGCACAGAUGGAGCGAUGAUAUACUGGUCUAGGGGACUGCCCAGAUGGUUUGUUGCUUUGAGUAUUUGAUUUUGUGAAUGGCAAUAAAGCCUUUUUUAUUGAUCUCUGAAGGAUUAAUUUCUUAAUUUAGCACUCACUGGCAAAGAUGCCUGCAGAAAAAAAAUACUGGAUAUGCAUGUAAUGAAUUGCGGUGUUUAUAGUUUGUAUGAGGCACAAAAACCAUAAUCUGCUGAUUGGAGUUGAGUUUGAAAAGUGUUAAUUCAUGAGCUCUGACAUUCCAAUUAUUUUGUUAUUAAUAUGUUCUGCACCUACCUUUACUAUUGUCUUAGCAUCCUUUCAGUAGCCCUGCUAAACAACACUAGAUGCAGAUAACGGAAAUGCUGUAUCACUGUGCAUUUCUCUAAAGGAGGAGAUGGGAAAUUUAAUGAGCCUUUUAUUUAAUUUAAGGUGGCUGCUUUUCAAAGCAGAAGUACAGAGUGUUCUUAAAUUGUGCUGACAAGGGAUGUAAGAAGUGAACAAAAUUUCAACUCCACUGAAAGUUGAGACUUGUUCAACAAAUAUUUUUUGUGUAGGUCAUAUUUAUAUGUGCCUUGUGGCAAAUGGUUUCAUAUUUCUCAAAAGUGGUGCAUUAAUUUUUAGUUAUAAAUUAUUCUUGUUCUUUCUGCUGAAUGGACUUUGCCACACAGAUAAUAAUCCAAGUCACGUUGCUCUGAAAUUAAGCCAGAUAAGAGGGGAAACAAAUGAAAAGCACGAGAAAGUGCUUUCCAAGGAGUAACCUUUCACUGGUUAAAGUGAAACUGCCACUGAAAUACAAUACUGAUAUAACCUUGAUGUUGCAAUGCGUAGACCAAGUAAUACAAUGAUUUGAGAACAUCUUGCUUGCAAUGACCAAAAAGGCCAAUCUGUUUUUUAAAUCCAGACAGGCCUUAAGACUGAGCAGCUGUGUGGAUUUGCAUAUUCUGGGGCUGUCAAAUAUCAUACUUCACUUAUUUGAUAGUAAAUGCACUUCUGGUGAUGCAACUCAGCCAAUCUUCCUGUUGCACGCUGGAGAUCUCACGUUGCUGAUCGAGGUUUUGUUCUGUGUGCUAGAUUAACCUAGUAAGGAUACAGACAAUUUCUAAACUAUGCCUCACUUGUUCUGUUUUGUCAUCUGACACAAGAGGAACUAAAUGGGAAACCAACACCACAGAUCUUAAUGGCAACACUGGAGAUCAUGGAGAUCCAAAUUUUUUUUUUCCUAUCCAGAAGGUAAGAUACACAAGUCUUUGACAACAAGGGAUAUGAUUUUUGGUACUCCUAGUGAUUUUUCUUGGUUGCAUUAAAUAUCUACUAUUUAUGGAAAUUAUGUUCUGAACAAAUCAGAGGACACUUUUGCAAGGUACAUAUGCUAACUAGCUGAGUGAUAAAAAGUUAAGAGGGUGGAUUUUUAUUUAGUGGUAUGUUUUAAGUUGCAAUACGUAAUGACAUUGUUUACCCGCUUCAUUCUAUGGACUUUUACUUAUUGCAUAAAGUAGUUAUACAAUCAUUCUUGAGGCUACUUCUCAAGAGAAUUAUUUUCCUUUUCUACAUUAUUCCAUGUAAUAUAAAGAACAUUUCUUUCUAACAAUGAAGUGAUGUUCAUAUAAACAAAUAUUUUAAUAAGAGAAAAUGGAAAAUAGACUUUAGGCCAUUGAAAAGUGAUUAGUGAUGCAAAAAACUUCAGUGCUGGUUUGUUUGUUUUUUUUUCUUCAAACAAACUCCUUUCUGAGAUCUUUGCUAGUUAAUUUUUAGUGCAAAGUUAGAUAUCUUACUUUAGUGGAAGGGAAGAACUUUUAGUCUCUGGGCAUAAGAAUGCAGCAGAAAUUGAAUCAACAAUAUCAACAUUCUCAUAUUUCUUACCAACCUAUCAUCCUGCUUGUCUGGGAAUGUCUAUACUAAACUGUCUUCUGAAAUUUAUGUGGCUAUUAUAUCAAAAACAAAUUUUAGAAUUCAGUUGACUUCUUAAAGAGCUGCAGAUGGAGAAAGUAAUUAUCAUUGCUCUCUCUAAACUAUCCUUCAUCUGCAGCUGCUCAACUUGGGAAUAAUUCUCAAGUUAACAACAAUUUUACCCAAAUCCCUUCCAAUCUAAGCCAUUCUGUGAUUCUAUAAAUAUAUGCUUAGUGUAAAAUAAAACAGAAAAAAAUCAUGGAAAAUUGUAGGGUUUAAUUAUGAAGAGGAUUUACCCUUUCUAAGUCUGAGCAAUACUUGAAACUUAAAGUAUAAAGUGAAGUGGCAAAAUGAAAUGAUAGGUAAUGAGCUUGGGAUAUUUUUGAUGCUAUCAAAUGCAGCAUUGCAGCCAUUUCCUAUACACAGAGAAAAUUAGAUUUGAUAAUCUAUAAGAAGGUAAAACUAUAUACUCUAUAUGGCUCUAUACUAUAUAUGGCUCUCAGACCGUGCUUUCCACAUGGAGCUGUCCCAGUUUUGUGACUAAAAAUCAAUUAAAAUUCAGCCAGACAUUGCUGUCCUCUCUGAACCCAACUGCAAACUUUCUAAAACAUUUAAGGUCUUCAGAAUUUCUCAAAGGUUUUCAGAGAGAAAUGAUAAAGAAAUAGCCUUGAGUACAAAGGAAAUAGAAAUGAAGAUAUAUUUCAUUACCAGUAAUAGGAAAAUACUUCAAUAACAUCUGCAGUUUUCCUAAAAAUGGAACGUAAAUAAAUAUUAUAUAUGGUAGGAAAAUGAGUACUAUGCUACUGUCAGUCAACAGGCCUGGCAGAUAAACUGGAUUAUUAACUGAUGACAGCUACAGAAUAUGUCAUUCCUUGAAACGAAAUACUGUGAAAGAAAGAAUCACAGAAUCGUAGGGGUUGGAAGGGACCUCUGGAGAUCAUCUAGUCCAAUUCCCUUAUUAUAAAAAGAGAGGUACAGAAUCAGGGUUGAGAGACCACUAUUGAAGCUGUCUUGAUCACUGCUCUGAUUAUAUUCCCAUGUUGUUUUCAUUUUGUGAAGGGAAUCUGCUCUAGUUUAAAUUAUGUAAUGGAGGGUAGAGGGUUGGUGUCUCAAAACUCAGUCAACAUGCUUUUCAUUUGGUCUGGGGAAGAGCUAAAUUUGCUGAUUGCCUGAAGCUGAAAUAGUAACGGAGGUAUUUUCUCAAGGGAAAAUAUAUCCAAGCUUAAUUCUGAAAGGGCAAAAAUUGUGGCAGAGUAAGAAAAAGAGCUCACACUACAUUCACAGACAAUUACACUUUUCAAAACACAUCUGUGAGAACAGGCCAGGUAACUUAUGUCAGAUGCUGAACUUGAGCCCAUUUGCCUCAGGAAUUAAUACAGGAUGGAGUAAAAUAACACCUAUGGAAGUCCAUGUCUCACUUGUUUGUGGACGAACAAUGAGUUUAUGUGCCUGGCUCCUAUCAGUCCUGUUCCUCAUGCACUGCAUGGAUGACCACUGUGAAGAUGACCUUUGCUUUAGCACGUGCAUAAUAAGUCUGAGACAUCACACAGUGAUGAACUCACUGUCUAGGCACUGUACAGUUAUUGCACAGAUAUUUCAGUCUCAGAAAUCUGAGACAGAAAUAUGAACCCCUGGGUUGUAAAUCAACAUUUUUUCUCACUCAACCCAAAGUCUGAUGAAGCUCAGGUUGGCUUCAAGCCUAUGCACGAACAAUAGAGAUGUUUGGGCUGUGGAAAAUCUGAAAGUCUUAUAUCUCUGAAGCCUUCAAAGUGUGGAGAUUACAGGUAUAGAAAAGUGCAUUCUCAGGGACAGCUGAAUAGAUGAUUUUUUUAAUAGUUUUUUUUUUCUUUUUGCCUUAUUUUCUGAAUCUAAUGCACUUAAAAGAUAUGUUGUGAAAUGCUUAAUUGUGUGUGUUUGCAUGGUGUGAACUGUGAGCAUAGCUAGACAGGCAAUCUCUUUCCCAUCUCUUUUCAAGUUGGUAAAAAAUCAGGAGGUAUCUUUUUAUGUCAUCUACAAAUAACAAAUCUUCUUUAUAAAGUACUUUGCCAGGCAAAAAAAUUCACAUCUCCACACUGAUGUUUCCAAUGGUAGUAUCUUUCACACUACAAGAAAGAACAAGCCAACAAUUCUUUUUCACUUCAGACUACUUAACCUUUAUUCAAAGUUCUUAUUGCAUUCAUGCACUGAUUACAGAUGCCUGGGUUUGGUUUUUCUCUUGUUUCUUUCUUCACUGCAAAAAAGCUGUAGCAGCAACAAUAAGUUUAUCUAUACAUCAUCUUAUUUUUUCCUAUGGAUGUGUAUUUUUCAUUUAAAGAAAAUAUUUUUUUUCUCAACAUUCAGAAGCAUUGGAACAGAAUAUUAAAUUGCAGGUCUACUUCUAGAAAGGGCAUGAAAUUAUUUGUUGUACUGAGUUUUCUUUAAUCUUCCAAGGCCAGGUUGGAUGGGGCCCUGGGCAACCUGGUCUAGUAUUAGACAUAGAGGUUGGCAUCCCUGCCUGUGGCAGGGGUGUUGGAACUUGGUGAUCCUUGAGGUCCCUUCCAACCCAAGCCAUUCUGUGAUUCUAUGAUUCUAUGCUCCCAUGUUUCUCAGAUAAAUGGUUCAUACUGCUAGAAGGGGGCCAAAGAAAAGACCCAUCACUAGAAUCUCACUAUAACAUUCAUUCCAUGGAGACAGCUCUCCCUUCCAUGCCUAGCUGCCUCUGCCUGUGUGUGGUGUAUCCCUAAAGUUGUGACUAUUAAUGUAAUGUCAGUUCAAAACUGCUCUUCAUAAACUAAAUCUGAAUGCUGUCAUGGAAUGUACUGAGAAAAGUACCUACAGGCUCCAAAGCAAUGGUUCCAAACAGAACUUCAGUGCCAUCUGUGGCUCUACCUAAAUAGGAAUAGGCCUCUGUACCCACUUUGAAACUGAUAAAGCUGAUGAAAGACAUGGAAGUCCUCUGAGUCAGAAAAUGUUCACUUGGAAAGGUAAGUAAAAGUGAGUGAAGUUCUUAAUCUCAAUGCAUUUGAAAGUAUUUCCAGUGGUGACUGUGUUUGGCAACCAUAGUUCUUUGCCUUUUGUCUAUUAAGAGCUUUAGGAGUAUAUCUGAAGUAUUCCAGCACUUGCAAAUCAAAUAUGAGCUUUUCUUGUGAUACUUUAAUUUUCUGAUUAUAGUGGCCAUAAUCUCCUAAAGAAGGCAUUUUGCCUGGUAAUGAGUAGGCAGAAAUGCAGACUGGUGCAGGCCAGUUACACACUUAAAUACUCUUGUUUAGGACUUGGAUGCCUUCCUACAGAGCUGAGACUGAAUGGGACACACUCUGAGGGAAGAACAGUCCAAGGCAACAGACCAGCAGAACAAAAUCUGCUGCUUUCAUGCGCAUAAAACCAACUGGCUGUGAGUUCCAGCCACGUUCCUUAAUCAAACCAUGGGGCUGUGGUUUUAUUAUGUGUAAUGGUCUGGUGGAAUAAUUUGAUUAGUAAUUUUAACCAGACGUGAAUAUAAGGCCUAAACCUAUGGGAUAAUAGAAUUAGCCUUUGCAUUUUUUUUGUAAAGUGCCACAUGCUUCCAUAGCAAUUAUUUAUUCUUCCUCUUGUUUAGCCCUAGCUAUUGUGCCUUCUACAAAUUGCAUGACAUUGUAGAAAGUUACUUUUUUUGCCGUUAGUUAAGAUUUGCAAUGCAACUUGCCACAAUAAGCUUUUGUUUUCAGUUCCAGUUAUGCUUCUGUAAGUCUAAACUCAGGGAUAAAUCAUGUAGUCAGGUUUUCAUUAUAGUCUGAAAGAUUAAUAAAAUAAAAAUUAAAAUCCAACUACUUUAGAAAAAAAGUUAGAUGAAAAAUGCUGUUUGCUUAUAUUAGAAGUGUUUAAAUGAGAAACAUUUAUUAUCUGUGUCCUUUGAGGUAGAAGCUGGAAGAAUGGUUCAAAAUUAUUUCCCUGUUGUUAGGAGAAACUGCGUAAAUAUGACAAAAUCUAAGCAUUUAUAUUGAAAUUACCAAUGGAAACAUUCACAUAUGAGACAAAAAGACCAAUAUUUCUCAAUUUGUAUUCUGCUCCAGAAAAGUAGUUAAUGAUACAGUUGUCAUCCCUGGAGGCUUUCAAGAAAGGUGUACAUGUGGCACUGAGGUAUAUUGUGUAGUGAGCAUGGUGGUGAUGACUGGAGUAGAUGAUCUGAGAGGUCUUUUCCAACCUUAAUGAUUCUAUGAUUCUAAAGACUACAAUUUUUUUUUUUAAUAUAUAUAUAUAUAUGUACGCAUCCACCCACAGAAGAAAGAAAAUGAAUAAAUUGGAAACCAUGUACAAUAUUAUUUGUAUCUUUUUUUUCUAGAGGAAGUGGGUCAAAGAUGAUCUUUUUAAGAAUGGUUGUGGGAUUCUCUUUUAAAAGGAAAAAGAAAAAAAAGAAACAAUCCUUGGAAAACAGUGCUGUGGACAAUACUCAUAUUCACUGCAUGUAUUCAUAAGAUGUUCCUCCUCCUGUGCACAGAAUUAGACAUAUCUUCUGGAAGGAGAGUGUGUAGGCUUUUAUUGGAUAUGGGUUCUCAGUCACAGCACAUAAACACAAGAGUGCUGUGACAAGCCAGAUAUUUCAAUUCUUGACUUUAUUAUAAGCAACUUCUAGGUAGUAAAAACAAGUAUCCCAUAAAUACCGUCCUCUUCAUUCUGUAUCCAGUUUUGGAGUGUGUGCUAAAUACUCUAGAAAAUAUAGAGUAGCAUUUAGUAAGUCAGUGUUAUUUCCCACUUCGUUUUAAAUACACUAUUUCCAAUUAAUAUUGCAUGUACAAAUGACUCUGUUCUAUUUCUAUUCCUCUUUUCUUCCUCUCACCUUGAAAUCAGUGUAAUUUUAAAUAUCACAUCUGUCAAACUGGAUGUGUUAUAUUACUCCUAAGACAUAUUAAAACAGUUAAGCUUUUAUAUUGUUUCUUAAAAAUAUCCCAGCAUAGUAGCAAAUUUAAUAACCUUAGGUUGUGGCAGGAGGGACUAAAGAACAGGAAAUAAUCUAUACUUUAUAGCUUUGAGUAUCAAGAUAAUAACGUAUAUUAUUCAAUAUCCCCAUUGCUGAUAUGGCCGUUUCAGGAAUAGCAAAUUAGAAAAUUAAAAAUUUCCUCUCAUUUUAAUAUAUUUUAUUGACGUAAAACUUCAUCAUGUUUAAUCAGUUUUCUGGAAUGGAAAGAAGAAAGAUAAAAAGCUAUUGCUUGAAGAUAAACAAAGAAGAGCAAGUAAGCUAUUUAGUGUAGCAGUACUUUGUCUCUUUAAUGGUUUUCUGCUGUUUGCACAACUUCAUCUGGAGAGCAUUAAUGCAAUAGCAGUGUGAAAUAUAUGUCUGGUGAGACAUAUAAGUAUUGUAUCGUGAUUUUUAAAGAGUUUUUUUGUUGUUUUUGUUAAUUCUGGGAGCUUGUUCAAUGUAGACAAUAUGCAUUUGACUUUAUUCUUAGAUAUGUCUUAUUUGAUAGGGGUUCUUUCCAACAAAAAAUAGAGAAGAUGCAAAAGCUUAUAAUAAAGGAGGGUUUAGAAAUAAGGCUUAAGUCUUUUGCAGACAGCUUAGAGUCCUGACUUUUUCCAGCACUGAAUACCAAGUAGUUCCUUCUGAUUUCAACGUUUAAAAAUACCAUGAUUCUCAUUUCUCUGUCAUGAGGUAGUUAAAAUUUUGUAUAACACAGCCCUUGAGUCUCCUUACCUAACCUCGUGCACCAAGUUAUUUAUUUUUUCCCAUUAUUCCUGACUGACACCUCUUCCCAUCACAUUUCCACUCCUCCAUCUUUCUCUUGGCCACACAAUUUUGUCCCCACAGGAUGAAGCCAGAUUCAGAUACGCAGUGCUGAUGCCUGUCAUGUCUUCAUCAUGGGAGCACAGGGUUCCCAUCUUCCUGUGUGGGAGGGUACAGAAGGUGGAGAAAUAAGCUUAAGUUCCCUGCAGCACUUUUCCCUAGCAGCAUCACAGAAGGGUAAUGCACACUAUGUGGCCCCCGAUAAAAGGGAAGGGAUGUUCUCAUUCACAAAACUUUGCCCAGAUUUGUUACAGGAGGCAUCAUACAGCGCAGUGUUAGGCGGGGUUUAUUUUUGCAGCCUGUGAUAUAUUUGCACUUAAAUAUUUCAUCCGCACCCUUGCACUUCUCUUCCACUGAGCACAUUUCCUGUAACAAGAAGAUCUGUGGAAUUCUGUUUGCGCUUUGUCAGUAGGGAAAUUGCAUGAGAGUCAGACAUACCUCACUCCUGGGCUUGAAUUACGCUGUUAUCCUGCUGUCUGCUGUGAAGAGCUUUCAAGUAGACUGUUUGCCAUUAGAGACUCUCCGUGUGAAUUAUUUACUAUUGACAGAGAUAACCAGUAGGGAAUAUUUCCAUAGGGUAUGGAUUUAUAAUUAUGCUGUUAGCUUAGGGAUUAAAGCUUUUUUGAUGGCUCAGAGAGAGGGUUUUUGUUUGUUUGUUUUUAAACCAUAGGAAUUGCAUUAGGAAUCUGACCUAUCAUGUUGUUUCUGGCCCAGGAGAGGGAAUAUGGAAUGAAUAAUAAGAAUAAUCAAAAUAAAGCAAAUAAUUAUUUUCUCUAAAAACACUUUAAUCUGAUUCCGUGAAAAAAUAUCCAAAGCAGAAAUUUCUGCUUUAUUUUAAAACGUUCAUCCUGGAGACUGAUAUCCCAGCAAAAGGGCAGGCAGAAUGACCUGCUUAGGUUCUCCCUGGGGGCUUCUGUUAGAGGUCAGCCAGAUCUAAGCAGGAGUCAAUAAGCAGUAGCUUUAAAGUAUGGCAAGAAUAAUGUCAGCAUGUACAUUCCUGUAUUUACCAUGGAUUUACUGUGGUAUUUGUAUUAAUUGGUAUAUUUGUACGUGUGGUGGACUAAGAGUGUGGUGACUGAUGUCCUGUGAAGAGCAUGGCUGUGUGGUGUCCAUGUGCUGCUAUGUUUGUGGGACCUGGGCAUGAGCUAAGGGCAGUGCUAAGGCUGAGGUUUGUUCAGCUGAGGAGCACUGAUGUGGCAAUGCUGCGUUCAGGUUCUCAACUGGAGAAGUCUGCAUAUGAUCAGAAAUUUGUUCUUCUAGUGUGUAAGUCAAUGUGCAUGUGUCUGUCCCACAUUAAACUUUCUUGAAAAGUUUUAUCUGAAACCAUGGGAUUUAGCAUCUAAAUGAAGACUAUAUAAAGGGAAAGAGAUUUUACGUAGUGGCUAUAAAUGGAAAAUUUAAUAUAAAAUUCCUUACACACUUACCUCAUAAAUUUAUUUCCUCUGUAAAGUAUAAUACAUUUAAAAUACGGUAUUUCUAUAGUCACUUGACAAAUAAUGACAACAUAACAGAACUCAAAACAACUCUAGAAAAACAGCCUGAGAAUAUCCUCCAGCUCAAGGUGGGUGUGCUUCUUUAAACAACCUGAAAAGAGCUGACUUUCAAUAGUGAGUGAGUACAAAUGAGGUUUUGUAAUUAGACAAUCAUAAUGAUCCUUUUUUUUUUUUGUUUUUUUUUUUGGAAGGAAGAACUGACAGUACAACUGUCACAAAAUAUGGCAGGAAUUUCAUAAAACUGCAGUCCAGAAAAUGUAAAUUUGACUCAGCAGGAGGGCAGUCAGCCAGAAAUACAUUGCAUUAAUUUACAGACAAGUUGCUAGUGACUGUGUUAAACUAAUCCCUGUCUCUAGUUGUGCAGUGAAUGGGCUGUAACGCGGACGCCAGUGGAGCAGCCCGGUGGGAGCGAUGAGUUGUGAUGGGUGAGGCACUGUGCAUGGCUCAAAUGAAGUGGCUGCUGAACCAGCUGAAAGCCCACCGUGGUUAACCUGUCCACUGCCUCAGAAAAACUGCAAUCCAAUACUCCAGCCUGGAAAUCACAGCCAGGAGACUGUACAGCACCUUCUCAAAGGAUGAAAUAGCCCAGACUCCUGGUAAGCUAUGAAUGAGAAGACCACAGUGAUACCAACAGAGACAUUUUCUGAACACCUUUAUUUUAUUGUGAGGCUUAAAUUAUGUUGUCUGAUUUGUGAAGCUCAAAGUGAGGUAAGUCACAGCUAAGUACAUGGUUACCUGUCAACCAAAUACAUUGAAGUUGUUACUUAUAGCUGAUAAAGAAAUAUUAUUCCUAUAAAUCAAUUAUUAUGAUAAAAUGCUAGAGUAUAUAAAAUAAUAUCCCAUACAUUUGCCUAAUUUUAUAUGCAGUGCAAGAGGAGAUUAAGAAGGCAGAAACGAGGUAUGAGGAAAGAUGAAUCAUAGAAGAAUAAGACAAUACAAAUUAGCCUGAUCUUGUUCACACGAUUUCAAUAGAUUUUUCAAACUAAUAUAUUUAUACAUUUUUCAGAUGCAUAUUAAAAAUCACUUAUCUCUUCACAGAAUUCAGUAACAUCUUGUGGGAAUCACACUUCUGUUAGGGAAGUUUGAUGCUUUCAGAAAAGAGAAAGCAGAAGUAUAUGAGCCUGAGGGCGUCCAGGCCUGUUAUGAGCUUUGGUGGGAGCAGAGGAGGAAACCUCAGGAUCAUAUCCUAAGGCUAUAGGUUCAAGAACUCUCUGUACACCUCUUUCUUAACCCAUCAGUAUAGUAAGCUUCAUCAUUUUCAUAGGAAGAUUUUUGAAAUCGCUUCCAAUGUAUACUUGCAUAUAGAUGCUAGAUGAUGUUGCAUUAAAUCUUCAAGCAGAACUGAGCACAAAAGCAUGCUCAAAUGAAGCAUGAAAAUAUUGCUUUACUAAAGCCACACAUGAUGUUCCAGUUACAAAAUUUAUUCAUCAAGCUUCUGGAAAAGCUCAAUGUCUCUGUUUUUUUUAGCGAUAGUAAUCGUAUCUAAAUAAAACACAAGUACUUUUCUUUGACAAAGAGUACAUGAUAAAGUACUAGAUCCUAAAAAGGAUCCAAAUUCUAUCUAGUGCUGUUAGUCAGUUAUGCAAUGGAUUUUGACUAGAAACAAGUUAUGGUUCUCAUCCAAUACAUCUAUUUAGAAAAAAAAAAAAAAGAACAUGAAAUGCACAUUGCUGCUUGAGUCACCAGGAACUUAGGAGUGCUAUGCGUGACUUCUGAUGAUAACAGAUACUAUGUGCCACAUUUGACCCUGUUGUAUUUGACCAUUCUUGGAGAGCUGUUUCUAAAAUGUAUUUUGUCACUUUCAGCACAAAGCAUUGCUAUAAUCUGGUGUGAGAUGGCUGAGCUGAUGGCAUACUACAAAUGAGAUUUCCAGCAUUACAAGUGCUGAAUAAAACAUAUCUGGAAUGUCUCUGCUUUCUGACUCUGCAAGGUUUUCCUUAGUAAUUCCAAUGCAGAGGAAUUUUUUUUCUUUGUUUUUGUUUUGUUUUGUUUUGUAUUCUUAGCAGAGAGAAAUGGCCAACCUGCAUUCGGUGCACUUUGUUUUUGGAACAGAGAACAGUCAGCUUGACUGCCAUGACAUCUAGAAUACUACAGACAGUACUUUGACAGUGAGCUUCUGCAGACACGUCACCUUGCUGGAGACAGAAUUUUUAAUUUUAAGUAUUUGUAAAAUUACAGGAUGUCAGCAAAAUCUGUGGAGUUGGGCUGCUCCUCAGAUGUUGGCUCUACAAGGAUGCUUUAACUCUCAGUUCCUAAUUGAAAGCAGAAGAUUUUAGGAUGUGGAAAAAGGCAAGCAAGCAUCAUUUUUGUCUUUUCUUCCACUGAUGGCUGCGACUCAUUUUUUGCAUCAUGGAGUUUGGAUUAGACAUCAUGCUUUCCUUGAUCCUGCUUCUUUCUCUUUUUCAUGU